AGCAGGAGUCUGGCGGCAGAGAGGCCGAUUGAUGAGAUGCCGAGGUCUGCAGCCCCAACUGGAGGCGCCCUGGAAGAGUGAGAUGGAGUGGGGAGGGGGUGGACCGGGCAGGGGAGGAGGCAAAGAGUCUGUUUCCCUGGCCCAAGGAGGCCGAGUGGAGCCGGCCCAGAGAUGAACGCAUCGGGGAGCUGCCAAGGUGCUUUGGCUCUAGCAGACAGGAAGAAAUUCUGGCCCAGCUGGAAGUAGAAAGAGGGGAGUGAGUCUCCUGAGGACCAUCUCAGAGGCCCCGGGAUCACCCAAACAAUGACGGCAACCGCCCAGCCACCCUCCAAGGCCCAGG
Molecule: small RNA, 340 nt
Filed under: Pan troglodytes (chimpanzee)
Lineage: Eukaryota; Metazoa; Chordata; Mammalia; Primates; Hominidae
Description: processed transcript
Source: RNAcentral